CCUACGGGUGGCAGCAGUGGGGGAUAUUGCACAAUGGGGGGAACCCUGAUGCAGCGACGCCGCGUGGGUGAAGAAGCGCCUCGGCGCGUAAAGCCCUGUCAGCAGGGAAGAAAAUGACGGUACCUGAAGACGAAGCCCCGGCUAACUACGUGCCAGCAGCCGCGGUAAGACGGCGGGUGCACGCGUUAGCCGGAUGUACUGGGUGUAAAGGGGACGCAUCCGGCGAUGCAAGCCAGGAGUGAAAGCCCGGGGCCCAACCCCGGGACUGCUCUUGGAACUGCGUGGCUGGAGUGCAGGAGGGGCAGGCGGAAUUCCUGGUGUAGCGGUGAAAUGCGUAGAUAUCAGGAGGAACACCGGUGGCGAAGGCGGCCUGCUGGACUGCAACUGACGUUGAGGCGCGAAAGCGUGGGGAGCAAACAGGAUUAGAUACCCUUGUAGUC
Molecule: ribosomal RNA, 440 nt
Filed under: uncultured bacterium
Lineage: Bacteria
Description: partial 16S ribosomal RNA
Rfam family: Bacterial small subunit ribosomal RNA
Source: RNAcentral